This is a non-coding RNA of Carica papaya (papaya), 790 nucleotides long. Lineage: Eukaryota; Viridiplantae; Streptophyta; Magnoliopsida; Brassicales; Caricaceae. The record is from RefSeq and is a predicted model, not a curated record.
UCGUUCAUUUAGUUGUUUUCCUGUUAUUGAUUUAAGCAUUGCAUUCAUUCUGCUCUAUGCUUGUAAUUGUAAUCACAUUCUCUUGCCCAUUUCUUAGAGAAGAGAAGAUUCUUGGCAUAGAAGAAGAGCAUUCUCGCUCAGAGAGUAGACUUAAGCUUUCAUGGAAAAUUCUUUUAUGGUAAGACGACCGAAAGAGGAAAAUGGCGUGAAUUGAGCCUUGGGAGUGUUGUCCACGUGAGUAAGAUCUUAGCGGGCAACAACAAAUGAGAGAAAUACUUGAAAAAGGUACAGCAAUUUCGAUGCAGUCGAAAAUGGAUCUGUUGACAGGCUCAGCAACAAAGACAAAGACAAUAAUAUAAACAAUAAAAUCUGUCAGAUUAGACAGAUUCAUAUUACUUCAAUUAAUAGAAUACUUAAACAAAUCACUGAAAAUGUUUCCCCCAAUCAAGCCUCCAGCUUUUCUCCUUCGUGGAUCUUUCGCUUUUAUUCACUUGGCCUCUCGCUUUUCUGGGGAAACUUCUUCUACUUUCCAGGGAAAUAUUCGAUAUCACAUAGCGAAUGUUGAUGGGAGUUUCUUGUUGAAGAUCAGAAAAUGGAAGAACUGAUAAGGUCGGGGAGGUCGCUUUCGGAGACUCCAACAUAUGCCGUUGCUACUGUGGUUUCUGUUUUGGUAUUUGUUUGUUUUCUGGUUGAGCGCUCUAUCUACCGAUUUGGAAAGUGGUUGAAGAAAACUAGAAGGAAGGCUCUCUUUGCUUCUUUGGAGAAGCUUAAGGAAGAGCUUAUGCUGCUU